GGCCUCUUUGAAGGAAAAAGAAGUUUGAAGACGAACCGCGGGCAGCAGGACUCCCCCACGUCCUCCGCUCAGUAAAGCGGGCUGUCUUCACUGUCUCUUUAAACUCCUUCACCGCGAAGUCGGGUUUUGCUUCGAUAUUUUUGAAUGUCAAAGUAAAGGACCGUUUUUAAUUUUCGUGUUUUGAGGGUCUGGCGGUCAGAGGACUGAAUUAACGCCCGGUUCAUGGUUUUCCAGCGCUCGGCUGUGCAUCCUGCCCGGGAAGAGGUUUCCAUAACACCGUGGGACUUUGCAACAAAUUCGUUUACGAAAAAAAAACGUAUACGGAACUGCAAUCUGGAAGUAUUUCUCUUUCGUAAUCUGCGUUUCAGUCGCUGGACUUUUGCAACUUUUAACUUGAAAUGGUUGACAGGUUGAACUUGUCAAAUGUAUGUGAAGGAGAUCCACUGAAUAUGAGCUGCAGGGUAGAUAGAGGACUUGACAGCCCGGAUUCCGGGUUACCCCCGAGUCCGAGCCCCAGCGCCUGGCUGCUGCCUGUGUGCGCAGAUAAAGCCGGGGGCGUGAGCCCGGUGUCUGAAGACGAGGGCAGGGGCUCCCUGGUUCCAGUUUUACCUACUGGAUCUUUCCAGCAGCUACACCCAUUGUCCUUUGGGGAGGGCAUAGCGCUUGAUCCAUUACCGUCGAAGGAAAUAAGAUACACCUCAGCCGUGCACUACGACUCGGACCGCCAUUUCAUCCAGGGUGUGGCCCUGUUGCCUACGGGCCGGGGCCUUGAACACUGCAGGCAGACCAUCAUGGCCAUGCCCCACACAACCUGGCGCCACUACAAGACACAACUGGAGUUCCAGCCUCGCCAUCGGCCUCAGCACUUCAAGAGCACCACCAUCGUCUACCCCAAGAAAACCAGCGCCCUCUACACCACGGAGCUGAGCUACAAUUGCCACCGACUCUCCAAACGUUUCCUCUCCAGCGUGGAGCUGGAGGCUGCUGGUCGCGGAGAGCUACCUCAGUGAGGGAGGGGACAGGUGUCUGUGGACACACAUCCCCAAUACCGUAGCUCCCCCAAGGCUGGCUGCCAUUUGACCUGCUGUGUUGUCUUUUUACACUUGUGUUGCCUGUUAUUUUUUGUAAGUAUUUUUCAUAAGCUGUGGACAGCAAGUACCUCUGCUGUGAUGUUACAGAUAUCAGCGGGGACAAGACAUGGACAAAGUGGGUACAAUAUCCAGUCAGUUCACGUUUUAAGUUUUUUUUAAAUUCCUGCCAAAGGAGGAUCAAUCAGUUGGAAUUGAUCUUUAAUUAAAUGCUUCACUUUGCGGAGUGUUGGUUUUUAGAGGCAUGCUCAUGUUUUUGGUUUUACUGGCUGUAGUAUUGGCUCAUCUGGAGAUGAGGAGAAUAGGCAUUUUCCCUCAGCAGAGGAACUCUCCUCGUGUUGCAUCAAGUUGGUCAAGUAAACCGUGUGAUUGGUUUAAAAUUUGAACAAUGAGGCCUGCCUCAGUUCAAGGAAUUUGUAAUCAUAGUGAGAAUUUCUUUUAAAACUACUAACUGAGAUUAUGGUUCGAAGAAACUCUUAUGCAAGGCAGAGGAAAGAAAAAUGAAAUGUGGAUUUGGUGUAUGCUAUGAAAUCACUAAUGUAUCCACACUGUACAAAGAAAAUAGUAAAAAUAUGUAACGCAUGUUUGUUCACAGGGUAUUAUGUGUUUCUGCACAACACAGACACAAGAUAAGCUCUUCUAAGUCUCCUCUGCCCACUGUGUAUAGCUGCGAUUCAUAAUGUAUUAUCAAAAUAUUGGUAGAUUAAGGGAACUUUUCUGUUUGUUGGGAUGUGUAAAACUGAUUUAAGUAUGUAGUAUAGAUAGAUCAUAAGUGUGGAGUUUACUGAACAGUAGAUAUUAUUUUUGAUAUCAGUCACUGGCUAACUAGUGAAAAUAACAAGCUGCAUUCCACUGCCACCGCUUCCUUUGGCUCGACUUGGUUUGAAAUUGUAUUUAUAAUGUUGGAAUUUAAGGUGCUGAGAUUUUAUCACUUGUUUAACGGGUCUCUCCACAGUCAUGGGAUGGGAUAUUUUAGUGUUUCCCUUUGUGCCUUAUUAAUGUGUGUUGAUGCUUGUUUUUGAUAUUAGUCACUAAUUCAAUGUCAGUUUGAAAUAAAGUGUUCAUAAUUUCAACAAUUUUAUUUUGUAUGAGGAGGGGGGCCUACAAAAUCACAAAUACACUAACAAACAUUGACCACAGGAAUGGCAUGAAUAAAGAAGCUGUUGGUUUGUGGGUGAU
This is an RNA transcript of Etheostoma cragini (Arkansas darter), 2267 nucleotides long. It is a transcript of the gene named refilin B, with no coding region annotated. Lineage: Eukaryota; Metazoa; Chordata; Actinopteri; Perciformes; Percidae. The transcript has 4 exons. The record is from RefSeq and is a predicted model, not a curated record.